GGGACACGUGGUAUCCUGUCUGAAUAUGGGGGGACCAUCCUCCAAGGCUAAAUACUCCUGACUGACCGAUAGUGAACCAGUACCGUGAGGGAAAGGCGAAAAGAACCCCGGCGAGGGGAGUGAAAAAGAACCUGAAACCGUGUACGUACAAGCAGUGGGAGCACGCUUAGGCGUGUGACUGCGUACCUUUUGUAUAAUGGGUCAGCGACUUAUAUUCUGUAGCAAGGUUAACCGAAUAGGGGAGCCGAAGGGAAACCGAGUCUUAACUGGGCGUUAAGUUGCAGGGUAUAGACCCGAAACCCGGUGAUCUAGCCAUGGGCAGGUUGAAGGUUGGGUAACACUAACUGGAGGACCGAACCGACUAAUGUUGAAAAAUUAGCGGAUGACUUGUGGCUGGGGGUGAAAGGCCAAUCAAACCGGGAGAUAGCUGGUUCUCCCCGAAAGCUAUUUAGGUAGCGCCUCGUGAAUUCAUCUCCGGGGGUAGAGCACUGUUUCGGCAAGGGGGUCAUCCCGACUUACCAACCCGAUGCAAACUGCGAAUACCGGAGAAUGUUAUCACGGGAGACACACGGCGGGUGCUAACGUCCGUCGUGAAGAGGGAAACAACCCAGACCGCCAGCUAAGGUCCCAAAGUCAUGGUUAAGUGGGAAACGAUGUGGGAAGGCCCAGACAGCCAGGAUGUUGGCUUAGAAGCAGCCAUCAUUUAAAGAAAGCGUAAUAGCUCACUGGUCGAGUCGGCCUGCGCGGAAGAUGUAACGGGGCUAAACCAUGCACCGAAGCUGCGGCAGCGACGCUUAUGCGUUGUUGGGUAGGGGAGCGUUCUGUAAGCCUGUGAAGGUGUGCUGUGAGGCAUGCUGGAGGUAUCAGAAGUGCGAAUGCUGACAUAAGUAACGAUAAAGCGGGUGAAAAGCCCGCUCGCCGGAAGACCAAGGGUUCCUGUCCAACGUUAAUCGGGGCAGGGUGAGUCGACCCCUAAGGCGAGGCCGAAAGGCGUAGUCGAUGGGAAACAGGUUAAUAUUCCUGUACUUGGUGUUACUGCGAAGGGGGGACGGAGAAGGCUAUGUUGGCCGGGCGACGGUUGUCCCGGUUUAAGCGUGUAGGCUGGUUUUCCAGGCAAAUCCGGAAAAUCAAGGCUGAGGCGUGAUGACGAGGCACUACGGUGCUGAAGCAACAAAUGCCCUGCUUCCAGGAAAAGCCUCUAAGCAUCAGGUAACAUCAAAUCGUACCCCAAACCGACACAGGUGGUCAGGUAGAGAAUACCAAGGCGCUUGAGAGAACUCGGGUGAAGGAACUAGGCAAAAUGGUGCCGUAACUUCGGGAGAAGGCACGCUGAUAUGUAGGUGAAGUCCCUCGCGGAUGGAGCUGAAAUCAGUCGAAGAUACCAGCUGGCUGCAACUGUUUAUUAAAAACACAGCACUGUGCAAACACGAAAGUGGACGUAUACGGUGUGACGCCUGCCCGGUGCCGGAAGGUUAAUUGAUGGGGUCAGCGCAAGCGAAGCUCUUGAUCGAAGCCCCGGUAAACGGCGGCCGUAACUAUAACGGUCCUAAGGUAGCGAAAUUCCUUGUCGGGUAAGUUCCGACCUGCACGAAUGGCGUAAUGAUGGCCAGGCUGUCUCCACCCGAGACUCAGUGAAAUUGAACUCGCUGUGAAGAUGCAGUGUACCCGCGGCAAGACGGAAAGACCCCGUGAACCUUUACUAUAGCUUGACACUGAACAUUGAGCCUUGAUGUGUAGGAUAGGUGGGAGGCUUUGAAGUGUGGACGCCAGUCUGCAUGGAGCCGGCCUUGAAAUACCACCCUUUAAUGUUUGAUGUUCUAAC
This 1822-nucleotide ribosomal RNA is filed under the name Escherichia coli. RNAcentral's name for it is "partial 23S ribosomal RNA". It matches the Rfam family "Bacterial large subunit ribosomal RNA", at positions 419 to 2226 of the family's 2925-position model. Lineage: Bacteria; Pseudomonadati; Pseudomonadota; Gammaproteobacteria; Enterobacterales; Enterobacteriaceae. The record is from RNAcentral.